CAUUAAAAUUUAGCCUAGUUGUUAAUAGUGCACCAGUUUGUUGAAUCCGGGUUGUGACUUGUGCAGACCCGUUUCAGUAUCGAUCACUCACACCCUCCGUUUCCUCUUCCGACUCGCGCUACACUCACACCCUCCGUUUCCUCUUCCGACUCGCGCUACACUCACACCCUCCGUUUCCUCUUCCGACUCGCGCUACACUCACACCCUCCGUUUCCUCUUCCGAUUCGCGCUACACUCACACCCUCCGUUUCCUCUUCCGAUUCGCGCUAGGUUACGUUGAUUUCGAAUCCCACAAAGGGAUGGUAUGGGCUUGAAAUGAGGAUAUGCUCAUGAAGAUUUUGGUCAAGGCAUGGAAUUAAGACAUGGGUCAAGGAACAUGUUAUGGCACAUAAACAUUUUUUUUCUUUGAAAGACACCAAUGGUCAUAAAAAGCUUGAAGGUUUUGGAGGGAUGCCUUAGAAUAGGUUUUAGAUUUAGGUAGUUGACUAUGAUCACUGUUUGACCAAAAAGUAAAUAGUUGACCAAAAGUCAACUUUAGGUAAAAAUGUGUAAUUUCGCGUGUAAACUUGUAAUUUGGAUCUUUUUGUCCUGAAAUGGAAGUUUUUGGUAAUGAAAUGGCCUUUUGAAAUGAA
Molecule: long non-coding RNA, 632 nt
Organism: Lathyrus oleraceus (garden pea)
Lineage: Eukaryota; Viridiplantae; Streptophyta; Magnoliopsida; Fabales; Fabaceae
Exons: 2
Source: RefSeq, a predicted model, not a curated record